Molecule: ribosomal RNA, 467 nt
Filed under: uncultured Sphingobacteriales bacterium
Lineage: Bacteria; Pseudomonadati; Bacteroidota; Sphingobacteriia; Sphingobacteriales
Description: bacterial SSU rRNA
Rfam family: Bacterial small subunit ribosomal RNA
Source: RNAcentral
ACGGGGCCGCACAAGCGGAGGAGCAUGUGGUUUAAUUCGAUGAUACGCGAGGAACCUUACCUGGGCUCGAACGUAAGAUGACUGUAGGUGAAAGCUUACAUCUCUUCGGAGCAUUUUACGAGGUGCUGCAUGGUUGUCGUCAGCUCGUGCCGUGAGGUGUCGGGUUAAGUCCCAUAACGAGCGCAACCCCUACCUUUAGUUGCCAUCAGGUUAAGCUGGGGACUCUAAAGGAACUGCCUACGCAAGUAGUGAGGAAGGCGGGGAUGACGUCAAAUCAGCACGGCCCUUACGUCCAGGGCUACACACGUGCUACAAUGGCCGAUACAGAGGGCAGCUACCUGGUGACAGGAUGCAAAUCUCCAAAGUCGGUCUCAGUUCGGAUCGGAGUCUGCAACCCGACUCCGUGAAGUUGGAUUCGCUAGUAAUCGCGCAUCAGCCAUGGCGCGGUGAAUACGUUCCCGGGCCUU